RNAcentral lists this ribosomal RNA (463 nucleotides) under uncultured bacterium. Its description in RNAcentral is "bacterial SSU rRNA". It matches the Rfam family "Bacterial small subunit ribosomal RNA", at positions 28 to 418 of the family's 1533-position model. The record is from RNAcentral.
GAUGAACGCUGGCGGCGUGCCUAAUACAUGCAAGUCGAGCGGUAAGGCUUUCACAGAUUAUUUGAACGGAUAAGUUCGCUACAAGUAGCGAAUACUGUUUGAAGAUACAUUUACAGGCUAGUAAAUGUAGUCGAAUAAUGUGUGAAAGUACACGAGCGGCGGACGGCUGAGUAACGCGUAGGAACGUACCCUAAAGUGAGGGAUAAGCACCGGAAACGGUGUCUAAUACCGCAUGUGAUCCACGGAUCAAAGCCUUCGGGCGCUUUGGGAGCGGCCUGCGUAUGAUUAGCUAGUUGGUGAGGUAAUGGCUCACCAAGGCGACGAUCAUUAGCUGGUCUGAGAGGAUGAUCAGCCAGACUGGGACUGAGACACGGCCCAGACUCCUACGGGAGGCAGCAGUAGGGAAUUUUCCACAAUGGACGAAAGUCUGAUGGAGCAACGCCGCGUGCAGGAUGAAGGCUUU